GAUCCCUUGCUGCGCGCGCGAGUUUCCCGAUAGGAGUGGUCCAACAAUUGGAAAAUAGUUUUCUCAAGUCUAUAUUUUGAUUUUCCGAUUUUUCCUUUAUCCUUUAUGGUAAAAUUUAUUGCACUCCGGAGCGCUCUAGUGUCAAAAGAGGCUAAUGCAUUCCGGAGAUCUCUAGCGUCUAUUGUGGCUGUUGCACUCUCACAAGUAGCAGUGAGAGAAAACCGCCUCCCGAAAAAGUAAUAAUGUGAUAGUAGAGAGGGCUGUAACCGACUAACCGCGACUAACCGUACGUUCACCAGUGAACUUUCCAAGUUGGAAGGACAGAUCAAUUUGGACAUCAUCGUGCAGACAGGAACCAAAUGUUCAUAAUCAAUGUCAAGGAAUCAAGGAAAUCAUCACUGACUUGCUGAGGACAAUUAUUAGAGACCCUGAAAAGCCCAACACGUUAGAAGACCUGUUGGUUAUUACAGAUGAAUCUGUUCAAGUAAAACCAUUUGAGGAAAAUGGUUACUUGGUUAGAAUAGAUUUCAAUCCUGCAGUUCCUCAUUGUUCACUUGCCAGCCUUAUUGGCCUCUGCCUGAGAGGCAAGAUUUAGAAAAAUGUGAUGGAAAGGAUCAGAUUGGACAUAGUUAUUGCAGAGGGCACAGAAGAAGAGAGUAAGCCCUAAUACCAUAUUUAAAUGUUCAAAAAAGCUUUCAUAAAAUAUUCUUUUACUUUAUUCCCAUCCAGUUAAUAAACAAAUCAACGAUAAGGAAAGAGUCGCCGCCGCCUUAGAGAAUCCCAACUUAAAAGAAAUGUUCGAUAGUUGCAUAAAAGAUGAAGAAGAAAAAUUUUGUUAAGAAAAAAAAAUAAAAGACAAUAAAUUUCCUCAGA
Molecule: long non-coding RNA, 873 nt
Organism: Daphnia pulicaria
Lineage: Eukaryota; Metazoa; Arthropoda; Branchiopoda; Diplostraca; Daphniidae
Exons: 2
Source: RefSeq, a predicted model, not a curated record